This 449-nucleotide ribosomal RNA is filed under the name [Eubacterium] yurii. RNAcentral's name for it is "bacterial SSU rRNA". It matches the Rfam family "Bacterial small subunit ribosomal RNA", at positions 28 to 462 of the family's 1533-position model. Lineage: Bacteria; Bacillati; Bacillota; Clostridia; Peptostreptococcales; Filifactoraceae. The record is from RNAcentral.
GAUGAACGCGGCGGCGUGCCUAACACAUGCAAGUCGAACGAAGUAUAUAUAGGAAGUCUUCGGAUGGAAUAUGUAUAACUUAGUGGCGGACGGGUGAGUAACGCGUAAGUAAUCAACCUGUGACACACGGAUAACUGAUAGAAAUGUCAGCUAAUACGAGAUGAACUGUUUAGAUUGGGAAAUGGAAACAGCAAAGCGAAAGCGGUCACAGACGAGCUUGCGUCUGAUUAGCUAGUUGGUGGGGUAAGAGCCUACCAAGGCGACGAUCAGUAGCCGGCCUGAGAGGGUGAACGGCCACAUUGGAACUGAGACACGGUCCAAACUCCUACGGGAGGCAGCAGUGGGGGAUAUUGCACAAUGGGGGGAACCCUGAUGCAGCAACGCCGCGUGAGUGAAGAAGGCCCUAGGGUCGUAAAGCUCUGUCGUAUGGGAAGAAACAAAAUGACUUU